CGCGUAGGCGGCUUAGUAAGUCGGAUGUGAAAGCCCCGGGCUUAACCUGGGAAUUGCAUUCGAUACUGCUGGGCUAGAGUAUGGAAGAGGGAAGUGGAAUUCCGGGUGUAGCGGUGAAAUGCGUAGAUAUCCGGAGGAACACCAGUGGCGAAAGCGACUUCCUGGGCCAAUACUGACGCUGAGGUGCGAAAGCGUGGGGAGCAAACA
RNAcentral lists this ribosomal RNA (207 nucleotides) under uncultured bacterium. RNAcentral's name for it is "partial 16S ribosomal RNA". It matches the Rfam family "Bacterial small subunit ribosomal RNA", at positions 568 to 774 of the family's 1533-position model. The record is from RNAcentral.